UACUGGCAGGAUCAACCAGGUAGCACGUCCUUCGAUGAUGCCAUACCCAACGCUACCACCCUAGCUGGCGAACAACAAAGAAGUCAUACUAAAGCGCACACGAUGGGUAGACAGUCAUUCGCAUAGACAAAACAUAGCCAUGAGGCCUAAAGGCACUCGACCAAUAAUGCAUGCUGCAUCCACGAGCACUCAAGGCACCAAUGGUCUUACUUUGAGAGAUGGGGCAAAAACCCAUGCAAUCAUCCAAAAGGCCAUAGGUGCCACCAUGCACCCACUCCUAUACCGCACAAAACGGAGGGAGGGGAGAGAGAGUAUAGCACCGAGUCAUAUUUCUCUUAUGAAAACUAUGUAAAUAGUACAGGCAAAUUUUGUGGCACCAACAGCAACAAUGGACCAUAUAAUGAAGAAUUGCACUAAUUUCGGUUGGGUGCACAAGGCACAGAGCCCGCCAUUAUAUGCAACUAUCAAACAACUUAUGUGCCGACACGGUCAUUCCAUGUACAUUGCCUUAUCGCCCACAUGCGUGCCCAUCAAGAAGAUAGUGGCAUGGGGUCAAAUGAGGCAAUCAACAUUGGAACUCC
RNAcentral lists this unclassified non-coding RNA (581 nucleotides) under Costus gabonensis. Its description in RNAcentral is "partial external transcribed spacer". The record is from RNAcentral. Lineage: Eukaryota; Viridiplantae; Streptophyta; Magnoliopsida; Zingiberales; Costaceae.